Ostrinia nubilalis (European corn borer) is the source of this 195-nucleotide long non-coding RNA. RefSeq lists it as uncharacterized. The record is from RefSeq and is a predicted model, not a curated record. The transcript is spliced from 2 exons. NCBI's taxonomy places the organism in Eukaryota, Metazoa, Arthropoda, Insecta, Lepidoptera, Crambidae.
CGCCGCGCCGCAGCCCGCGCCCGCCGCGCCGCUGCUGCCGCAGCCGCAGCCCGCGUAGGCCGCAGCCCGCUAGUCAAUCAUCAGUGAACGUACAAAUCAACAGAAAGUGACUCUGAAAAUUUUGCAGGCCGUCUCCAACAAUGCAAUGUUUCAUACAAUUAAUUGAAUAAAAAUAAGUAAAAUCUGAUUUAAUUA